RNAcentral lists this transfer RNA (72 nucleotides) under Psettina iijimae. RNAcentral describes it as "tRNA-Thr". It matches the Rfam family "tRNA". Rfam says of the family: Transfer RNA (tRNA) molecules are approximately 80 nucleotides in length. Their secondary structure includes four short double-helical elements and three loops (D, anti-codon, and T loops). Further hydrogen bonds mediate the characteristic L-shaped molecular structure. tRNAs have two regions of fundamental functional importance: the anti-codon, which is responsible for specific mRNA codon recognition, and the 3' end, to which the tRNAs corresponding amino acid is attached (by aminoacyl-tRNA synthetases). tRNAs cope with the degeneracy of the genetic code in two manners: having more than one tRNA (with a specific anti-codon) for a particular amino acid; and 'wobble' base-pairing, i.e. permitting non-standard base-pairing at the 3rd anti-codon position. Lineage: Eukaryota; Metazoa; Chordata; Actinopteri; Pleuronectiformes; Bothidae. The record is from RNAcentral.
GCGACAGUAGCUCAGACCUAGAGCGCCGGUCUUGUAAGCCGGAUGCCGGGGGUGAAAACCCCCCCUGGCGCA